This 347-nucleotide transfer-messenger RNA is filed under the name Lachnospiraceae bacterium. It matches the Rfam family "transfer-messenger RNA". From Rfam's summary of the family: Bacterial tmRNA, also known as 10Sa RNA or SsrA, is named for its dual tRNA and mRNA-like properties. Its role is to liberate the mRNA from a stalled ribosome. The record is from RNAcentral. Lineage: Bacteria; Bacillati; Bacillota; Clostridia; Lachnospirales; Lachnospiraceae.
GGGCUUGUACUGGUUUCGACGGGGAUUUUGAAGUCCGAGCAGCCAUUCGCAGACCGUGACUGCGUAUCAAAACGGAAUUAAAAUUAAACGCUGAAGAUAAUUUAGCAUACGCUGCCUAAUGGCAGUUGUCGGUCUUAGUGUGCUCACCAGUUAAGUAACCGGCAUCGUAUUCGGUGAGGAACUUUCGCUCCAAAGCUUUGAGGAGUGGAAAGCCUUUAUGAAGCUACUGAAGCCUUAAGCCUGUUUCCGGGCGUGGGGCAGAGGGAAUGUAAAAACGGAGACUGUAAUGGGAGACACUUGGAUGGACAGGUUUUCGGACGCGGGUUCGAUUCCCGCCAGGUCCAGCA